Long non-coding RNA from Electrophorus electricus (electric eel), 1611 nucleotides. Lineage: Eukaryota; Metazoa; Chordata; Actinopteri; Gymnotiformes; Gymnotidae. The record is from Ensembl.
UGAGAUGUCAGUGCCGAAACGUGAGUCGAACUGAGAGGCCGAGGCAGAUUUUAAGAGGGCGCUGAGAAGACCUGCCACCGGUACCAGCAAAGCAUAUGAGCAGAGCCAUUUGGGUACUUCUUUUUCAUCUGACUUGACUUUGUAAGCCGUUUGAGCCAAACUGAACAGAGAAGGAACAGAGGAAUUAGCUUGAAGGUGUUUGCGGGGGAGAACAGCCAUGAGCAGAAAUUCACUCUGCUUAAUUCUCAUCAUCACCUUUCUGAGAACAGGUGUCUCCGACAGUAAUAUAGUCAUCAGUCACAGAAUGGAAGGCGAGAGACUUAUCUUGACCUGUGUCCUGUCUGGAGAUGAGAAUCUAACCCAGGUCAACUGGGAGAUACAGUGGCCUAAUCGCACCAAUGUGGGCAUUUUUCACCCUGUUUAUGGCACCUACGUCCCCCCCGAGUAUGCUGACAGAGUGAUCAUCGAUGGCAAACAUCUUUUCUCAACUGCAUCGCUUUCUCUGGAGAAGAUGCCUUUAAAUGAAAUCAGACAAAUCUGCUGUGUGUUCAUGACGUUUCCAUCAGGCCACCUGAUGCAGUGCUCCAAGAUCAGUGACAAUGAUGGAGUCAACGCUAAUAACAGAAAGACUGAAGUCAAGGAGGCCGGCCAUGAGCUCAGCUUAUUUGGCCAGCUGGGCGCGCUGACAGUGGGGUGCAUCCUCACUCUUCUCUUGUUUGUCAUCCCAGUCUACGUUUGCCACAAAUGUUCCUGUAGGAGGAGACAAGAGUUUCGAGUCCAGCAGGCACAUUACACAGACCCAUCAACACCUUCUGAGACCUUCACAGAAAAUGCACAAGAAGUGAGACAUCCUCCACCUGCACCUGGCUUUGACCCCACAAAACUAUAUGCAAAGAUUAAAAAUGAUCUGUAUUAUGGCCGCCUGUGGAAGGCAUACCAGGGUAGAGCCCGCAUAUCAACACAAGGAGCACCACCUGACCCAAAGAAGAUUUACUAUCGUCUAGGUGAGCGCCCCCAACAACAGAGCGAUGAAAAACAGAGGCCCAUAGGCCCAGAUACAAUGGUGACAUCAUCAGACAACAACAGCUGAGCACAGAUCUCAUUCAGUAGCCACUGGAAUUUGUUUUGCACAAAAUGCCGAAACCAAAACGCAAUAUGUAAUUAAGCAAGUAAAAAGAGUGGGAUAAAUAUUAUGAGCCAGCAUACACUGACAGAACAAUAUUUGUGUAAAAUUGUGUAUAUAUAUAUACAAUUUAUAUAGAUAUAGAUAUAUAUAUAUAAAGUGUGUGUGUGUGUGUGUGUGUGUGUGUGUGUGUGUGUGUGUGUGUGUGUGUGUGUGUGCGUGUGUAGUUUUGACUUGUACGUAAAUAAACCUAUUGACUGAGUUCUAUGUAUGGUUUUGAUAUUUGUUUAAUAAAGCACACAUUUUGUAAACAUUUUCAUUCCUGGGUAGUAUCAUGUCUAACUAACUUUACUCAGGUUUAACUUCUCAUCCGAAAUUUGACACGUAUGCGUAUUUGUGGUAUAUUGCGAAAUACACGUACCCCUUUGUACCCCUUUGUACCCCUUUGGGCUACAGAUUACGAAAUGAGGAAGGAAAUAAUAAAUGUA